CGAAAUAAUACACUACUAUUAUUUUCUAUUUUUACAAUCUGGACUUAAGUUAGUCUCUAAAAAAACUAAAAUUAUUUUGGGAAAGUGCUCCUGUAGAUAGCAAUGUGAGAGACUAGUGAAGUCAAGUCCACGCUCUUUCUCUGAUGGCAAGUUCUUAAAUCUCCACUCCACUUUAAUUUUUUUAAUUUUUGGAUCUCAACUUUUCUGCGUUGAAAUUUUACGUGCUUAAUUCAAUUCAAAAGCGAUUAUAGCAGCUUAGUUGUCAACGACACGAUUAAAAGUCAGCCAAAAUAAAAGUCAAAGUGUGAACGUCAAAAUCCCAGCACUUGACGCACACAAACAAAGGGCAUGGUUAUAACUGGAUGUGUAUAUAUAGGAUGUAUUCAUAUCUCCAAUUUCAAACCCAGUCCAAGCUCCUUUCACAUUCCCAUUUUCCUCUAAUCGCCAUGGUAUCAGAAAUCUUUGGGACGUCAUCUGGCUGGACAUUUCCAAAGUCGAAAGCAGUUAGAAGAAAGUACUAGGGUCUAGAGCAGUGGUGUGAGUCUGCUGGAACGGGUGCGGCAAGUGUGGUCAAGAGUUUUACAAAGUUCAUCAUCAUGGCAUGGUCCAAGCACUUUUCAAGUGCAACUCAAAGAGAUUUUCCAUUUUCAUAUAUUAUGUAAGCGGUUAACACCAGCUGGCCGUAAAUAUUAUGAUAAUUUUUCUUUUAUACCGACGGGUAUACACACUAUUCAAAUCAAUGAAACACAUUUAGUAUAAUUUUCUAUACCAAUUCUCUUUACACAAAAUCUAAAAUUAAAGUUUUUUUUUAAUUUU
Drosophila obscura is the source of this 816-nucleotide long non-coding RNA. RefSeq lists it as uncharacterized. NCBI's taxonomy places the organism in Eukaryota, Metazoa, Arthropoda, Insecta, Diptera, Drosophilidae. The record is from RefSeq and is a predicted model, not a curated record. The transcript has 3 exons.